UACGGUCUAUACGUGAUGUGUGUAGCUCUGAAAGGUAGUCAAAUGUCUUUGUCAGGCUGUCAUAGAGAGGAAGCAGUUAGCGUCUGCGAUGUGUUCCUGCCAGUGCAACUGCAACAGCUUGUAUCUGCCAUUGACAUGUCAGUUUUCAGGGCUUUGAGCUGUCAGCCCUACUGCGCCCUUCUCAUCCCAGCAGAGAGCAAGAGAGCGGAAGAAAGAGGGUGUUUGUGUGCAGGUUGGCAAACUGCCAUAUUAGUGGCAAAUGAGAAUACAUGAUAAAAAAUAGAGAAAGGCAGUGAUGCACAUUUGCUCUUGAAGGACGUUGAGUCAUCUUAAGUACUGUUCAGAAUACAAAAUAACUUGGUCCAUCAGGACUUUCCUCCCUGCCAGAUCAAACCAUAAUUGCAGAACAACUAAAGUAAUGAGUCUUAAUAAAUAAGUGCAAAAAGAUGUUAUAAAAAUAUUGUUUUUCAGGAGUAGAUAUUAUUGUAAACAUUAGGGGGAAUGCACUAUGCAGUGUCCACAUAUGAGGGUCCGGUGUAGUCCUCUGUGUCUCCUCUGUGUCUCUCUCUGCCAAGGUGAACAGAUUCAGGCACCCAAUCCAUUAUCCUGUCAACAACAGCAGGUCCCUGCCACAGUUAGCAGCAACACUGGCCGUAAUGAAAUCAUCAGUAAUCCCAAAACUCAUCUUAUCAUACCCAAGGUACAAGUUCUUAUCUUUUCUCGGACUGUAUGAUACCAUGACAAAACAGUUAAACAACAGGCUGUGGACACCAGUGGAAGACACAGGCUGUAGUCUUCAACAGUGAAUUACCUGUAGUACAUUUGCCUGCAGCUUCUACCAACAGAUACAUUUGUGCCAAAAUACAGAAAUACAGUUUGAUUGGAUGGAACCUUUACAUGAACAACAAAAUAUGAACAGAACUAUGACCCUUUUUUGUGUCCCGACCCACCAGUUGCACAACAGUUACAGGUGAGAGAGAGAGUCGCUUUGUGAUUGGCUGCCCUUCUGCUCCAUAUUCAGAGGUGCUGGAUGAGGCAGAGUGCCCGCAGGGAAAAUGGCGUUGUAAUCAGGAGCCGGCUGUGCUGCCUGAUCAGAGGGUUUCAGGAGGAAGGAUUGCUGGAAGAGAUCAGCGGGACUCACUGAGUGGGCAGAGAAAAAUAGCCAGGCCAGUGAAGAUGGAUGGGUGACAGUCCCAUUGGUCACAGCGAUUCAGCACUCAGUCACCACGGAGACAAGCAGUGAAACCAGGAUUGCUGAAAGCCAAAUGAUUUGUGCUGUGAAAAAAAUUUAUAUUUUAGAUCAUUUUCUUAAACAUAAUUUAAUUUAUCAUGUAAAGUAAUGGAGCUUAAGCACAUUAAAUAAAUGCUCACCAUCAAAAUGGUGAUGUGAUAAGUUAUUUAAGCUAAAUUUGCAACCCUGUUUUUUAAUUGAAAAUUUAAAAAUGUUAUGCUAAUUUAGUGUUUAUAUCGAUUUAACAUUUUAC
Molecule: long non-coding RNA, 1484 nt
Organism: Cyprinus carpio carpio
Lineage: Eukaryota; Metazoa; Chordata; Actinopteri; Cypriniformes; Cyprinidae
Source: Ensembl